CGACCACGGGUUGCGCGAGAGACUGACGC
RNAcentral lists this small RNA (29 nucleotides) under Bombyx mori (domestic silkworm). RNAcentral describes it as "ovarian small RNA-4856". Lineage: Eukaryota; Metazoa; Arthropoda; Insecta; Lepidoptera; Bombycidae. The record is from RNAcentral.